Molecule: ribosomal RNA, 425 nt
Filed under: uncultured bacterium
Lineage: Bacteria
Description: partial 16S ribosomal RNA
Rfam family: Bacterial small subunit ribosomal RNA
Source: RNAcentral
GUGGGGAAUCUUGCGCAAUGGGCGAAAGCCUGACGCAGCCAUGCCGCGUGAAUGAUGAAGGUCUUAGGAUUGUAAAAUUCUUUCACCGGGGACGAUAAUGACGGUACCCGGAGAAGAAGCUCCGACUAACUUCGUGCCAGCAGCCGCGGUAAUACGAAGGGGGCUAGCGUUGCUCGGAAUUACUGGGCGUAAAGGGCGCGUAGGCGGACAGCUUAGUCAGAGGUGAAAGCCCAGGGCUCAACCUUGGAAUUGCCUUUGAUACUGGCUGUCUUGAGUUUGGGAGAGGUGAGUGGAACUCCGAGUGUAGAGGUGAAAUUCGUAGAUAUUCGGAAGAACACCAGUGGCGAAGGCGACUCACUGGCCCAAUACUGACGCUGAGGCGCGAAAGCGUGGGGAGCAAACAGGAUUAGAUACCCUAGUAGUCC